GACGAACGCUGGCGGCGUGCUUAACACAUGCAAGUCGAACGGAAAGACCCUGCUUUUGUGGGGUGCUCGAGUGGCGAACGGGUGAGUAACACGUGAGUAACCUGCCCUUGACUUUGGGAUAACUUCAGGAAACUGGGGCUAAUACCGGAUAGGAGCUCCUGCUGCAUGGUGGGGGUUGGAAAGUUUCGGCGGUUGGGGAUGGACUCGCGGCUUAUCAGCUUGUUGGUGGGGUAGUGGCUUACCAAGGCGUUGACGGGUAGCCGGCCUGAGAGGGUGACCGGCCACAUUGGGACUGGGAUACGGCCCGGACUCCUACGGGAGGCAGCAGUGGGGAAUAUUGCACGAUGGGCGGAAGCCUGGUGCAGCAACGCCGCGUGCGGGAUGACGGCCUUCGGGUUGUAAACCGCUUUCGCCUGUGACGAAGCGUGAGUGACGGUAAUGGGUAAAGAAGCACCGGCUAACUACGUG
RNAcentral lists this ribosomal RNA (468 nucleotides) under uncultured bacterium. RNAcentral describes it as "partial 16S ribosomal RNA". It matches the Rfam family "Bacterial small subunit ribosomal RNA", at positions 28 to 507 of the family's 1533-position model. The record is from RNAcentral.